AGUCCGGUAGUGUUACACAUCAAAAUGCAAAUUUGAAAACGCACCCAAUAAGUGCCUGGGCUU
Molecule: transfer RNA, 63 nt
Filed under: Mesalina olivieri
Lineage: Eukaryota; Metazoa; Chordata; Lepidosauria; Squamata; Lacertidae
Description: tRNA-Cys
Source: RNAcentral